Molecule: ribosomal RNA, 1056 nt
Filed under: Triticum aestivum (bread wheat)
Lineage: Eukaryota; Viridiplantae; Streptophyta; Magnoliopsida; Poales; Poaceae
Description: partial small subunit ribosomal RNA
Source: RNAcentral
UUCUAUCCCAGCCUCAACCGGUCCAAGUGCUGCGCCAAGGGGAUUUGCACCGAGUGCUUCCUCCAGAUGAAGUCGCCCACCUCCUGCCGGCCCACACAGUGUCCGUACUGCAAGAUGCUGAAUUACGCAGUGGAGUACCGCGGCGUCAAGACGAAAGAGGAGAAGGGCGUCGAGCAGAUUGAGGAGCAGAGGGUGAUCGAGGCCCAGAUCAGGAUGCGGCAUCAGGAGCUCCAGGACGACGCCGAGCGGCUCAAGAACAAGCAGGUUGCUGCUUCGACCGACGAAGUAACGACCGCGCGAGUUGAAUCUUGCGAUACCGGUGGCACAUCCACCCCAGCUGCAAGCGCUGCCCAAGGCAACGAUGUGGUCUCUGGUCAAGUACAGCAUUCGGAGCUGCUAUUGAAGAAUGCUGAACGCUUAAGGCAGUUGCGGGAUAAUAAUUUCGAUAUGGAUCUUGAAGAAGUUAUGCUUAUGGAAGCGAUUUGGCUUUCUGUGCAAGAUCAGGAAGCCUUAGGAAAUCCGGGGAGCAUAGGUGCCGUGCCACCAACACUUCCUCUAAGAUGCUACGAUGCGUCUGGGGCCGCUUCAGCAGAAGCAGCUCCACCUGGUGGAUUCGCCUGCGCGGUCGCGGCUCUAGCCGAGCAACAACACAUGCUUGGAGACCCUUCGAGCGCAGCCACCUGCCAAACAUCAAGACACGACAUUCUCAGCAGGUCACAAAGGUCCUUCACAGAGGACCUGAGCAUAGCCGGGAGCAGUUCCUCGGCCACCAGGGUCGAGGAACCAUCCAACGGCAGAACGCCGCAGGCAAGAGACGGCGCGGAUUACUCCAACAACGACGGGUGGUCGGAGGCGGCCGAGGCCAGCACCAGCUGCGCCGACGUCACGGUAGAGGCCGGGGCCGCCAGUCUGGCGGCUGCUGCUUCGGACGUGUCGAGCAUCAGUUCGGGCAACGUCCCCGACAGCUUUGAGGAGCAGAUGAUGCUGGCCAUGGCGCUCUCGCUGGUCGACGCUCGGGGGGUCGGAGGCUCUCCUCCAGGGAUCGCUUGGCGGUAG